RNAcentral lists this ribosomal RNA (487 nucleotides) under Brevibacterium sp. CMT701. RNAcentral's name for it is "bacterial SSU rRNA". It matches the Rfam family "Bacterial small subunit ribosomal RNA", at positions 388 to 885 of the family's 1533-position model. The record is from RNAcentral. Lineage: Bacteria; Bacillati; Actinomycetota; Actinomycetes; Micrococcales; Brevibacteriaceae.
GCAGCGACGCAGCGUGMGGGAUGACGGCCUUCGGGUUGUAAACCGCUUUCAGCAGGGAAGAAGCGCAAGUGACGGUACCUGCAGAAGAAGUACCGGCUAACUACGUGCCAGCAGCCGCGGUAAUACGUAGGGUACGAGCGUUGUCCGGAAUUAUUGGGCGUAAAGAGCUCGUAGGUGGUUGGUCACGUCUGCUGUGGAAACGCAACGCUUAACGUUGCGCGUGCAGUGGGUACGGGCUGACUAGAGUGCAGUAGGGGAGUCUGGAAUUCCUGGUGUAGCGGUGAAAUGCGCAGAUAUCAGGAGGAACACCGGUGGCGAAGGCGGGACUCUGGGCUGUAACUGACACUGAGGAGCGAAAGCAUGGGGAGCGAACAGGAUUAGAUACCCUGGUAGUCCAUGCCGUAAACGUUGGGCACUAGGUGUGGGGGGCAUUCCACGUUCUCCGCGCCGUAGCUAACGCAUUAAGUGCCCCGCCUGGGGAGUACGG